CCUGGUAGUCCACGCCGUAAACGAUGAAUACUAGGUGUAGGAGGUAUCGACUCCUUCUGUGCCGUCGCAAACGCAUUAAGUAUUCCGCCUGGGGACUACGGCCGCAAGGUUGAAACUCAAAGAAAUUGACGGGGACCCGCACAAGCAGCGGAGCAUGGGGUUUAAUUCGACGCAACGCGAAAAACCUUACCAGAACUUGACAUCUAGUGAAGAGUCUUGUAAUGAGACUCGUCCCUUCGGGGACACGAAGACAGGUGUUGCAUGGUUGUCGUCAGCUCGUGUCGUGAGAUGUUAGGUUAAGUCCUGCAACGAGCGCAACCCUCAUAUACAGUUGCCAAUAUUCAGUUAGGAACUCUGUAUAGACUGCCGUGGUCAACACGGAGGAAGGUGGGGAUGACGUCAAAUCAUCACGGCCCUUACGUUCUGGGCCACACCCGUGCUACAAUGGCUAUUACAAAGAGCAGCGAGAUAGUAAUAUGGAGCGAAUCUCAGAAAGAUAGUCUCAGUUCAGACUGUGGGCUGCAACUCGCCCACACGAAGUAGGAGUUGCUAGUAAUCCCGAAUCAGCAUGUCGGGGUGAAUGCGUUCCCGGGUCUUGUACACACCGCCCGUCACGCCAUGGGAGUCGGGAGUGCCCAAAGUCAGUGUCCUAACCGCAAGGGGGGAGCUGCCUAAGGCAAUACCGAUGACUGGGGUGAAGUCGUAACAAGGUAGCCGUAUCGGAAGGUGCGGCUG
RNAcentral lists this ribosomal RNA (735 nucleotides) under human gut metagenome. RNAcentral's name for it is "bacterial SSU rRNA". It matches the Rfam family "Bacterial small subunit ribosomal RNA", at positions 786 to 1520 of the family's 1533-position model. The record is from RNAcentral.